Molecule: ribosomal RNA, 432 nt
Filed under: uncultured bacterium
Lineage: Bacteria
Description: partial 16S ribosomal RNA
Rfam family: Bacterial small subunit ribosomal RNA
Source: RNAcentral
AACGAACGCUGGCGGCAUGCCUAACACAUGCAAGUCGAACGAGACCUUCGGGUCUAGUGGCGCACGGGUGCGUAACGCGUGGGAACCUGCCCUUAGGUUCGGAAUAACUCCCCGAAAGGGGUGCUAAUACCGGAUAAUGUCUUCGGACCAAAGAUUUAUCGCCUUUGGAUGGGCCCGCGUUGGAUUAGCUAGUUGGUAGGGUAAAAGCCUACCAAGGCGACGAUCCAUAGUGGGUCUGAGAGGAUGACCAGCCACACUGGGACUGAGACACGGCCCAGACCCUACGGGGGGGGGGAGGUGGGGAUAUUGGGAAAGGGGGGCAAGGCUGAUCCAGCCAUGGCCGGGUAGGGAAGAAGGGCUUAGGGUUGUAAAAGUUUUUUUCCCGGGAAGAUAAAUACGAGAACCGGAGAAAAAGCCCCGGGUAACUUCGUG